CGCUAUCGCCUUGCCUAUACAUGCAGUCGAGCGGGGUCCAUCCGGCAGCAUGUGGGUUUGUACCUACGGCGAACGGGUGAGUAACACGUGAGAACCGGCCCCGAAGUUCGGGAUAACACCGGGAAGCCGGUGCUAAUACCGGGCACCCCCACCUGACCGCGUGAUCGGGUGAGGAAAGCCAUAUCUAAUCAAUAUGGUGCUACGGGAGGGGCUCGCGGGCUAUCUGUUUGUUGGUGAGGUAACGGCUCACCAAGGCGACGACGGCUAGCUGGUCUGAAAGGACCACCACCCACACUGGGACUGAGACCCGGCCCACACUCCUACGGGAGGCAGGGGUGGGGAAUCUUGCGCAAUGGGCGAAAGCCUGACGCACCACCGCCGGGUGGGGGAUGAAGGCCCUCGGGUUGUAACCCCCUUUCAGCAGGAACGAAAUUGACGGUACCUGAAAAACACGCCCCGGCCAACUACGUGCCAGCAGCCGCGGUAAUACGUAGGGGGCGAGCGUUGUCCGGAUUCAUUGGGCGUAAAGAGCUCGUAGGCGGUUUGGCAAGUCGGGUGUGAAAUCUCCGGGCUCAACUCGGAGGAGGCCACUCGAUACUGCUAUGACUAGAGUCCCGGUAGGGGACUAUGGAAUUCCUGGUGUAGCGGUGAAAUGCGCAGAUAUCAGGAGGAACACCGGUGGCGAAGGCGGUAGUCUGGGCCGGUACUGACGCUGAGGAGCGAAAGCGUGGGGAGCAAACAGGAUUAGAUACCCUGGUAGUCCACGCCGUAAACGUUGGGCACUAGGUGUGGGGCCUUAUCAACGGGUUCCGUGCCGUAGCUAACGCAUUAAGUGCCCCGCCUGGGGAGUACGGCCGCAAGGCUAAAACUCAAAGGAAUUGACGGGGGCCCGCACAAGCGGCGGAGCAUGUGCCUUAAUUCGAUGCAACGCGAAGAACCUUACCUGGGUUGAACUACGCCGGAAAAGCUACAGAGAUGUAGUGUCCGCAAGGGCCGGCGAUAGGUGGUGCAUGGCUGUCGUCAGCUCGUGUCGUGAGAUGUUGGGUUAAGUCCCGCAACGAGCGCAACCCUUGUCCCAUGUUACCAGCGGGUUAUGCCGGGGACUCGUGGGAGACUGCCGGGGUCAACUCGGAGGAAGGUGGGGAUGACGUCAAGUCAGCAUGCCCCUUAUGUCCAGGGCUGGACACAUGCUACAAUGGCCGGUACAAAGGGCUGCUAUCCCGCGAGGGGGAGCGAAUCCCAAAAAGCCGGUCUAAGUUCGGAUUGGAGUCCGCAGCUCGACUCCAUGAAGUCGGAGUCGCUAGUAAUCCCGGGCCCUCGCCGGGGUGAAUACGUCCCGGGCCUGCACACACUGCCCGUCACAAGGCGAA
Molecule: ribosomal RNA, 1370 nt
Filed under: uncultured bacterium
Lineage: Bacteria
Description: bacterial SSU rRNA
Rfam family: Bacterial small subunit ribosomal RNA
Source: RNAcentral